UACAUUUUAGUAUAUGAGGUAUAAAAGUUUUUGAUACUUUAGGGAAUAGUUUAAUUCUAUUAAAUGUAA
RNAcentral lists this transfer RNA (69 nucleotides) under Olenecamptus subobliteratus. RNAcentral's name for it is "tRNA-Gln". The record is from RNAcentral. Lineage: Eukaryota; Metazoa; Arthropoda; Insecta; Coleoptera; Cerambycidae.